Molecule: non-coding RNA, 123 nt
Organism: Penaeus vannamei (Pacific white shrimp)
Lineage: Eukaryota; Metazoa; Arthropoda; Malacostraca; Decapoda; Penaeidae
Source: RefSeq, a predicted model, not a curated record
AUGAUCUUAUGGAUGCUCGCGUUACGUUUGCAUGCGCAGCGACAAUCUCCCUUUCGUACUGAAGACGCCACCGAGAAGUUCGGUUUGGAAUCUAGCAACACAAUGGCACCAAUUAAGAAGUCG